UUGCACAAUUCAGCUGAAGUCAUCUGGGCCUUGGAAGGCAUUCAAAUCUUUAUAGAAAUGAAACAAAUGACAGAGAAAAACUCACUUAUCUGUUUCUGAAAGUCAGUAUGCUGUACAAAAGAAAACAUCCUUCAGGAACUGCAAUGCUGAUGUAAAACAUAGCAAAAUAAAACAAAAACAGAAUUUUGAGUUUUCAGAGCUUCUACCUCAAAGUGGAUCAAACUCUAUCAAAUUGAUCAUGUUAUCAGCAGAGUGUGACCAUAUGAUGUACUGAAGAUGGCUGUGAACAUGAAUUGAAGAUCUUUGAGUCUUAAGAGAACACAGAACACCAGGGAAACUAUAAUGAAGACUAUCAGGAGACUAUAAGGAGGAUAAUACU
RNAcentral lists this long non-coding RNA (379 nucleotides) under Equus caballus (horse). Its description in RNAcentral is "lncRNA (ENSECAG00000054581.1)". Lineage: Eukaryota; Metazoa; Chordata; Mammalia; Perissodactyla; Equidae. The record is from RNAcentral.